UUUUAGGGUUUUAAAUAUUUUAUUCAUCAAAUAAGACUAUUAUAUGAAGUUUUUACAAUUUGUAAUUAAAUCAACUUUUUCAGAAAAUAUGUGACAUUUCAGGUGGCUGAGUUAUUGUGCAGGACUUACUAUUUUAUUAAUGUUAAAAUACAUAAUUUAUUCGCAGCUCAACUUUCAGUGUAAAACCAAGUAUUUGUCCACCAGAGAUACAAAUGCUUAUAAACAAGGUUUGGAAUAAUUAUUGGCAUAUGCAAACUGAAAUAAUCUUCAAACUUUUUUCACACUGAUGAUCAGUUUUUAGAAAUAAGAUGACUGGCACUUAAACAAUAAAUGAACUACACCAAGCACAUGUUAGUAAAGGUACUUUGAUGGAAAACAAAGUAUUUAACAACAAAACAUUUGGUAAAACAUUCAUUUACUAACAUGUUCCCAACAUUUUCAAUGUUUACAUGAGUUGUUUGCACUAGUAAACAUGUUAUUUCAAACUAUUUUCAUAGUACAUGCAUUAGACUUAGUUUAAGAGGGGAAGGUUCUUUUAAAAUUUUUAUAAAGAAAAAAAUAGCUUUUUAAAGAGAAAAUGUCCAAAUAAGAGGAUGAAGACUUUUAUUUUUUGACUUAACAAGAUUUCAGUAGCUAUUUAAGAACAUACAAAACCCAAACUGAAUGCAAUUCUUCAAUUUAGUCAAGCUACCAAGU
Molecule: long non-coding RNA, 696 nt
Filed under: Bos taurus (domestic cattle)
Lineage: Eukaryota; Metazoa; Chordata; Mammalia; Artiodactyla; Bovidae
Description: long non-coding RNA NONBTAT024372
Source: RNAcentral